CGUCCAAAUCAGCAAAUAUCUCCUUCUUACCGCACAUAUGAUUACUACAUCCGGAGUCAAUGUACCAGACAUCAUUGUUAGUUUCUUCACUAAUAGCAGCCAUAGAUGCGGAGUAAAAAAUGGUUUCACUUUUAUCCCUUUCAUCCUCAGCUACUCGAGCAUGAACUUGUUUAUUUUCAGUUCUUUUACUCCAACAAUCUUUNNN
Molecule: long non-coding RNA, 205 nt
Filed under: Nicotiana benthamiana
Lineage: Eukaryota; Viridiplantae; Streptophyta; Magnoliopsida; Solanales; Solanaceae
Description: long non-coding RNA (NBEN_LNC040314)
Source: RNAcentral